Molecule: non-coding RNA, 3629 nt
Organism: Nothobranchius furzeri (turquoise killifish)
Lineage: Eukaryota; Metazoa; Chordata; Actinopteri; Cyprinodontiformes; Nothobranchiidae
Source: RefSeq, a predicted model, not a curated record
CCCCCGAGCAGGGGCAGGCAACCCUGGUCCUAGAGAGCUGCAGUCCUGCUUGAUUUCCAACUAAAAUGGUAAAUGGCCUGUAUUUGUUAUAGCGCCUUCUAGAGUCCUGAAACCCCCCAAGGUGCUUUACAACACAACCAGUCAUUCACCCAUUCACACACACAUUCACACGCUGGUGGGGAUGAACUACGAUGUAGCCACAGCUGCCCUGGGGCGCACUGACAGAGGCGAGGCUGCCGAGCACUGGCGCCACCGGUCCCUCCGACCACCACCAGCAGGCAACGUGGGUUAAUGGUAGAGUGUCCGCCCUGAGAUCGGGAGAUCAGGGGUUCGACUCCUGGUCGGGUCAUACCAAAGACUUUGAAAAAAAAAUGGGACCCAAUGCCUCCCUGCUUGACACUCAGCAUUAAGGGGUUGGAUUGGGGGGUUAAACCACCAAAUGGUUCCCGAGCGCGGCUUGUCUGCAGCUCACCGCUCCCCCAGGGGAUGGGUCAAAUGCGGAGAAUAAAUUUCACCACACACCUGUGUGUGCGUGUGACGACUAAAUGGGACUUUAAUCUUUAAUCUUAAGUGCCUUGCCCAAGGACACAACGACAGCGACAGACUGAGCGGGGCUCGAACCUGCAACCUUCCGAUUACGGGGCGAGCACUUAACUCCUGUGCCACCGUCGCCCCAAACUACCUUUGUUGUUCCUGUUGUUGAUUACCUGGAUCAGGUGUGCUCAAGCAAUUAGAAGCUGCAAGUUCAUGCAUGGCUGGAAAGCGUGCAGGACUGUGGCUCUGCAGGACCAGGGUUGUCUACCCCAGCCCUAGAGUCUUUUUUAACUCACUCUCGUCAAACCGAAAGUGAAACUCUUCUCCUCUAUAUGUGUUUUACUUACCCCGUCUCAUGUUUUUUUUUCCUUUGCGCUUUUAGAUAAGUUCACUUUUAUUUUUUAUUAUUUCAUGUUUAAAUUAGCAUAUGUGUAAAUUUAAACAUGUGAUGCGUUAAACAUCAGUCUGAGUGAAUUGACCCUUGCAACACAAAGUUGCAAUUUUUACACAACAAGUUAAAACUUAUUACAACCAACAAGAAGAUGUUGGUCAGUCUGGUUUUUGAUCAUGUGUUCACAAGAUUCCAAUCCUUGCAUGUUUUUGGGUUUUUGUGGUUUUUAGUGUUUAAACCAGAUGAACAAGAUCAACCUAUGAUUGAAGGCAGUGCAGCAGGAUUUUGUUAACUAACUUUGAUUGCUCAUUAAAUGUAUUUUAGAUGGUGUGUUAUAUAUACAUGUUAUGACAAAAUUCCAAAAGAGUUUGUGACUUCAGGAGAAAUUAGUCAUUUUGUCAUUGUAGGCCUUUAAUCUUAAACAACUGUUGUUACAGCCGGGAGUCUAAAAUGCCUUAAUGCAAAUUAACUUUUAUGAAACUAUGUUUCAAAACGUGAAACUGCUUUUGCAUGAUCACUCAAGUGGAUGUAGGGGAAAGCUAAUGAAACUAUAUGUGAGGGCUUUAGUGGUACAUUGCUGUUAUAAAAUAUUGCACAAGUGGUGUCUCAGAUGAAACUUGUUUUUUAUUUAGAGCGAUAACAACUGGGAUCUGAGCCUGAAUGUCCAAAUGCGUUUGAUUGCUUUUUAAAAUGUUUUUUACUUUUAUGCAUUCCGUGGCAAAGCAGGGCUUAAAUGCAAAAAAGGCACUUUCCACGCAAAAUCACACAUUGUGCAAUGUGCAAAUACUGUGGUCAGGUCAGUAAUUUGAUAUGCAAUCAUCUUUGUGUUAUCAGUACUUCAGUUUUUCUUAAAAAAAUCACUUCUUUCAGCAAAAAUCUGUGGUAACUUCUGCUUUAGAGACUAGCAGGAAGCCAAAUCUCAGCACACAACAGGUAUAAAUGUUUCAUCUUUCCUUUGACAUUGAUUGGAGCUCGAGUCUCUAAAUAUUGCAUGAUCGUCCUCAUUGCAAGCACGGGACAGUCGUAGAUGUCUAUCACGACAGAGGAAAUGUGGGACGUGUUGAAAGGGCCUUUGUUGCACCGUAGACAGCAAUGAGUCACAUUCAAACCUGUUUACAAGUCUGACUGUCUGUUUCCUGAUAAUGUGGGUCAGAGGAAAUCCAUCAAGGUGGUGAGACAAGGAGACAAAAAAUAUCAUUCCCUGUUCCACAUGCUUGGUUGUCAGUCUGUGUGCUCUUUUUUCUUAUCACAGUAGUUCUCAUUAGCUCCAGGUCCUAGCUCUCCAGACAUAUAUUUUGUUUGCAGCUUUAGCAACCUUGUCAGCUCCCCUGUAGCAUGUCUGAUUGGAUCCAAAGGCUCUGUAUUUUCUUUGUUUUCUGCUAUGAAUUAUAGAUGCAGGAAUAUGCUCCUGUGUGUCACUGGCUUUGCAUGAACACUUGCGACUUUGAGACACACAUAUUUGCUGAAACACCUGCAUAAGUUUUGAUGUAAUCCCUAACUGUGAGCAAACAGUACAUAACAAAAACACACACAACACUAUAGGCCCACACAGACAUACAUGCAUCUGUCAAGUAGCAUCUUUUUAGACCCUUGACAGCUUUUUUUCAUCAGUGCUCCAAAAACAAAUGUAUACAUGUACUUUUUUGGUUUCCUGAGCUACGACCGUCAGAUCCAAACUCACUGCAUUCACAUGCCUGUUUGUUACUAACGCUUCCCUCUGAACAAGCACAGACACACUGUACUUGGAUGAUAAUCACCAUAUUCACAGUUACAUCAGCCCAUGGGGAUGAACCUGUUCUGUCUUUGUUUCUACUGUUGCUUUUGUCUUUUAUCAGCUCAAGAGUCGCUAAACCUCACACGGAUUCCUUACAGGUUCUGUCUUAAAAACUAGGACAUGGUAUAGGUUGUUACAUUUGAUUCAUUUCUUCUGAAAUGUUCAGUUCGCAUUAGAAUAGAAUAGAAUAGACUUUAUUGAUCCAACAGUGGGGAAAUUAUCUUGUUACAGCAGCACCAACACUUAAGAGAAUAAGUUGAAGAAAAAUAAUAACAAAGGUAGAUGUAUAUACCCAUAGGCAGUAGUCUAGAAUUAUAACCUUCGACUGCUAAAAGCCAAGAAUAAAAAAAGAAAAAACUUGGGUUCCAACACUAUGCAGCAUACUGCAAGAGACACGGACACACUACGUAAAUCCGGUAUUGAAUGAGUAUUGAACACAUACUGAGUAUUGCAUUGGUGUUACUGUGUAACAGGAUAAUGCCAGUACAUCUUAAACUUAUGCCUGAUUUAUGCUUCUCCGUCUGCGUCAGUGCUGAGACACGCAACGCCAUUAUCCGUCCUUGCAUAGGGCUCCGGCAGGCACGCAAGUACGUACGGAGUCGAACCCACUUUUUUAAACAUCCGUCGAACGAGACGGAUUACGCAAGCUUGUGAUUGGUCAGGACGCCGUUGUUGUUUACAGUGCCGCCAUUGCAAAGAGAGCCGAGUUUAACUAGCGGCAGACACGGAGAAGCUUGAAGAAUACCUCGCGAAAAACUCUAAAAAUAUGAAUGUUUCAUCCUCCCGUGACUGGAGGAGUGAAAAGAUGCGCAGCAAGCGUUUUAUUUGUGGACGGAAAUGACAGGAAACGUGGGUUUAGAGGUGGGAAGCGCUUGAAGCGGUGGGAGAAUGAGAGACAAAUAUGUCCGUGUUAAAAGUCUCUUAUAUACA